Molecule: long non-coding RNA, 588 nt
Organism: Chrysemys picta bellii (western painted turtle)
Lineage: Eukaryota; Metazoa; Chordata; Testudines; Emydidae
Source: RefSeq, a predicted model, not a curated record
UCUCCCUUCGCGAAGCCUCUGGCUAAGGGCGCACGAGCUGCUACCGGGUCCCCCCGGGGGGGCGGGGGCUGUCCUGCGGGGAGAUCCUAGCUGCGUGCCGCCGGGGCUGCGAUUCCCGGCAGGAGGUGCCCGAGGUAGUACAGUCCGGCUCCAGGCUGUAUCCGAGUCACUCUGUUUCCCACAGCUGAGCAGGAUGGAAGUGGAAACAUAUCCAUUUGCCUGCUGUGUUUCCAGAGGGCCCAGCAACAGUUAAGUUGCCUUCAGCAAGAGAUGCAGUUUUGACCAGUGAAGGGGACAGCUUAAUUUUUACUGGAGACAUUCUUGACACUGCCACAACCACAACGCUACAAUCCAGAGUUCCAGAUUCUACUUCAGAAGACUAAGACUUUGGGAGGAGAUCCGGACCUGAGAGUUUGAUCAGCAAUGUACUGAAAACGUGGUAAUGGCCUUCACUCUGAACCAAAGCUAGUUUAAGUUUUUUAUCUUCAUUUUUCUUGUAAACAUUUCUGACUUUAAUGCCUCUUUACUUGUAUUCACUUAAAAUCUAGCUCUCUGUAGUUAAAUAAACUUUUCUUUAAUUGAAACUAA